AGACGUAGGGGGCGAGCGUUGUCCGGAAUUACUGGGCGUAAAGAGCACGUAGGCGGAUAUUUAAGUCAGGUGUGAAAGACCGCAGCUCAACUGCGGGGUUGCACCUGAAACUGGGUAUCUUGAGGGCAGGAGAGGGAAGUGGAAUUCCUGGUGUAGCGGUGAAAUGCGUAGAAAUCAGGAGGAACACCAGUGGCGAAGGCGACUUUCUGGACUGACCCUGACGCUGAGGUGCGAAAGCGUGGGUAGCAAACAGGAUUAGAUACCCUGGUAGUCCACGCCGUAAACGAUGAGUACUAGCUGUCGGAGGUUACCCCCUUCAGUGGCGCAGCUAACGCAUUAAGUACUCCGCCUGGGAAGUACGCUCGUAAGAGUGAA
RNAcentral lists this ribosomal RNA (375 nucleotides) under uncultured bacterium. Its description in RNAcentral is "bacterial SSU rRNA". It matches the Rfam family "Bacterial small subunit ribosomal RNA", at positions 523 to 898 of the family's 1533-position model. The record is from RNAcentral.